This 421-nucleotide long non-coding RNA is filed under the name Salvia miltiorrhiza (redroot sage). RNAcentral describes it as "long non-coding RNA (SMIL_LNC009350)". The record is from RNAcentral. Lineage: Eukaryota; Viridiplantae; Streptophyta; Magnoliopsida; Lamiales; Lamiaceae.
GCCCCGACCCCAAAAGUAUUGGCCCCAUCCCCGCCCCAUUAGGGUCGGGUACCCGAACCCGCGGGUAUAAUUGCCAUCCCUAUUUCCCGUCUCUCCACCUCUCUCUACUCCUCUCCAGCGACGGCCAGCUUCCUCUCCGGCGAACAACGUAGAUCGCCGCGACUCUUCUCAACUCUCUACCUCCCCUUCGUUUCUCUGCCCCUCUCACGAUGAACGGCGUAGAUCCCCGCCGUAUUCCCUCUAUUCACGGCAAAAUAGGAGCGGCAAAGCCACCGCCUCCUACCUCGCCGCAAUGAUUUCAUCUCAACUGCAACAUUUUGAAGGCGUGCGUCCCAGAUUUCAUCUCCUCCAUGGGAAAUUUACAGUACGAAUUUUGAAGGCGCGCAGCGAAGGAUGGAUUUAUUGCAAGAACCGAUUUCUA